UUACCCCCGGGGGAAAACUAGCAUAUCAAUAAGCGGAGGAAAAGAAACCAACAGGGAUUGCCCUAGUAACGGCGAGUGAAGCGGCAACAGCUCAAAUUUGAAAUCUGGCUCUUUUAGAGUCCGAGUUGUAAUUUGCAGAGGGCGCUUUGGCUUUGGCAGCGGUCCAAGUUCCUUGGAACAGGACGUCACAGAGGGUGAGAAUCCCGUACGUGGUCGCUAGCUAUUGCCGUGUAAAGCCCCUUCGACGAGUCGAGUUGUUUGGGAAUGCAGCUCUAAAUGGGAGGUAAAUUUCUUCUAAAGCUAAAUACUGGCCAGAGACCGAUAGCGCACAAGUAGAGUGAUCGAAAGAUGAAAAGCACUUUGGAAAGAGAGUCAAACAGCACGUGAAAUUGUUGAAAGGGAAGCGCUUGCAGCCAGACUUGCUUGCAGUUGCUCAUCCGGGCUCUUUUGCCCGGUGCAUUCUUCUGCAGGCAGGCCAGCAUCAGUUUGGGCGGUGGGAUAAAGGUCUCUGUCACGUACCUCUCUUCGGGGAGGCCUUAUAGGGGAGACGACAUACCACCAGCCUGGACUGAGGUCCGCGCAUUUAUGCUAGGAUGCUGGCGUAAUGGCUGUAAGCGGCCCGUCUUGAAACACGGACCAAGGAGUCUAACAUCUAUGCGAGUGUUUGGGUGUCAAGCCCGAACGCGUAAUGAAAGUGAACGGAGGUGGGAACCCGCAAGGGUGCACCAUCGACCGAUCCUGAUGUCUUCGGAAGGAUUUGAGUAAGAGCAUGGCUGUUGGGACCCGAAAGAUGGUGAACUAUGCUUGAAUAGGGUGAAGCCAGAGGAAACUCUGGUGGAGGCUCGCAGCGGUUCUGACGUGCAAAUCGAUCGUCAAAUUUGGGCAUAGGGGCGAAAGACUAAUCGAACUAUCUAGUAGCUGGUUCCUGCGAGUUCCCCCCCCCGGGGAGAA
Molecule: ribosomal RNA, 951 nt
Filed under: Pyrenophora graminea
Lineage: Eukaryota; Fungi; Ascomycota; Dothideomycetes; Pleosporales; Pleosporaceae
Description: LSU rRNA
Rfam family: Eukaryotic large subunit ribosomal RNA
Source: RNAcentral